CCUACGGGAGGCAGCAGUGAGGAAUAUUGGUCAAUGGACGAGAGUCUGAACCAGCCAAGUAGCGUGAAGGAUGACUGCCCUAUGGGUUGUAAACUUCUUUUAUAAAGGAAUAAAACGAGGCACGUGUGCCUUUUUGCAUGUACUUUAUGAAUAAGGAUCGGCUAACUCCGUGCCAGCAGCCGCGGUAAUACGGAGGAUCCGAGAGUUAUCCGGAUGUAUUGGGUUUAAAGGGAGCGUAGAUGGGUUGUUAAGUCAGUUGUGAAAGUUUGCGGCUCAACCGUAAAAUUGCAAUUGAUACUGGCAGUCUUGAGGAAAGUUGAGGUAAGCGGAAGUAGUGGUGUAGCGGUGAAAUGCUUAGAUAUCACGAAGAACCCCGAUUGCGAAGGCAGCUUACUAAACUGUGACUGACAUUGAUGCUCGAAAGUGUGGGUAUCAAACAGGAUUAGAGACCCUAGUAGUC
This 460-nucleotide ribosomal RNA is filed under the name uncultured bacterium. Its description in RNAcentral is "partial 16S ribosomal RNA". It matches the Rfam family "Bacterial small subunit ribosomal RNA", at positions 338 to 795 of the family's 1533-position model. The record is from RNAcentral.